GAUGAACGCUGGCGGCGUGCCUAAUACAUGCAAGUCGAGCGAACGGACGAUAAGCUUGCUUCUCUGAUGUUAGCGGCGGACGGGUGAGUAACACGUGUAUAACCUACCUAUAUUUCUGGGAUAACUUCGGGAAACCGGAGCUAAUACCGGAUAAUAUUUUGAACCGCAUGGUUCAAAAGUUCAUGACGGUCUUGCUGUCUCUUAUAGAUGGAUCCGCGCUGCAUUAGCUAGUUGGUAAGGUAACGGCUUACCAAGGCAACGAUGCAUAGCCGACCUGAGAGGGUGAUCGGCCACACUGGAACUGAGACACGGUCCAGACUCCUACGGGAGGCAGCAGUAGGGAAUAUUCGGCAAUGGGCGAAAGCCUGACGGAGCAACGCCGCGUGAGUGAUGAAGGUCUUCGGAUCGUAAAACUCUGUUAUUAGGGAAGAAAAGAUGUGGAAGUAACUGUGCACAUCUUGACGGUACCUAAUCAGAAAGCAACGGCUAACUACGUG
Molecule: ribosomal RNA, 497 nt
Filed under: uncultured bacterium
Lineage: Bacteria
Description: partial 16S ribosomal RNA
Rfam family: Bacterial small subunit ribosomal RNA
Source: RNAcentral